This 1218-nucleotide long non-coding RNA is filed under the name Bemisia tabaci. RNAcentral's name for it is "lncRNA ENSSWEETPG001596". Lineage: Eukaryota; Metazoa; Arthropoda; Insecta; Hemiptera; Aleyrodidae. The record is from RNAcentral.
GUCCGGUAUGUGGCGGCAACAGUGGUUCUUCAAGUAUUCUAAUAAAGGAUUCUGCAUCAAUUCCUAACUGCUUCCUACCCAGAUAUAACCGCUAGACAAUUUGUUAUUUUUUUCAAUGUCGUUUUAUACCUAUUUGGUUUUUAUCCCUCCGUCGUCCCUCUGAAUCUUGACUUGUCGACUGAACCCACAAAAAUGGAAUCUGAAUGUAUUCUCACACCGGCCGAGAUAGAUUUCUACGCGGCGAGUAUUCAACCGUCAGAUUUUGAAACUAUUGGAACAUCGAGCUGGUUUGAGGCGCACGAGAGACUCCAAAGGUUAUAUCAACAGGCUACUUUAGAGGCGUCGAAAAACAUUGAAGAACAUGUUAAGGAAGCCAUCAUUUCCAACUUAAAGGUAGGUGAUCAUACUUUACACAUAUUUAUACACAUGCGAUACCAUCCAAGUAUUGUAGAAGAGAAGUAGGUACUUGUAGUUAUACAUAAACGAAUAGAGUUGCUUAGAAGCUCAAGCAAGAUCACUGAUAUUUUAUGAUCGGAAUGAUAAAAAAAUCUUUUUUUACGAUUUUAACAAUGAUGGAACAUCCAUUGACAAGAGUUAUUGGCCUCGUAAGAGGGAGAGUAAGUAGUAGAGGUUACCCCAGCACACAGUGGAUCGAGUCAAUGAGAGAGGUCGGACAAAAUUUGGAAACUUUAAAAGCUUUUAACUCCGUUCAUACAAAACUUUGAGGUCUUUAAAGUGGUUCCAUUGGUUUCCUAGUGAGAUUUUUUUUUUUCAGAGCCACCCCUUGAAAUUUAAAAUUUGACGAAUUAAACAUCAAAAUUUUCAGUUUUAGUUAACAAUCCCAUGUCCGACCUCACUGAUUGAGUCGAUCCAUUGUGUGGCGGCGGUUUCAAAAUUGAAGAGUUUUCUCAAUAAUGGUACCAUUCUCAAAAUAGCAGAUUUUUUGCAAAAGCCCCCAUACUCUUUGAAAUCCACGGAUUCGAUAACUUUAUACGAGGAUGCUAUAGUUGCAGAUACUGGUGUACGAGGCAGUCCUCAUCUCGGUGUGGAAACAACGAAUUCUCCCUCGGAUUUUGAAACGAAACCCGAACACGGAAAAUACAUUCCCCAUUUAUAUCAUAGUAAGUUAAAUUCCAAAAACGCUUAACAUGCUCUCUUAUUUACAGAUGGUUCUUUCUUGCCUUCUCUAAAAUUGUGUAAAACCAUUACAACUCGUUG